UUUAUUUUAAUAUUAAGAUACAGGAUCAAUUUUCUCCUAAUCAACUAUUCAGAAACGAUACAAUUAUACUUUGUUGCUCUACUUACCAGCAUUGAAAACAACGUUAGCCUCAACGGUCUUUCCUCUCACUAAAUUGCAGGGCAAAGAGGAACA
Long non-coding RNA from Bombus huntii, 153 nucleotides. RefSeq lists it as uncharacterized. The record is from RefSeq and is a predicted model, not a curated record. Lineage: Eukaryota; Metazoa; Arthropoda; Insecta; Hymenoptera; Apidae. The transcript is spliced from 2 exons.